RNAcentral lists this unclassified non-coding RNA (1632 nucleotides) under Hevea brasiliensis (rubber tree). The record is from RNAcentral. Lineage: Eukaryota; Viridiplantae; Streptophyta; Magnoliopsida; Malpighiales; Euphorbiaceae.
UUUAAUCUUGAAACUAAUUAACACAUUAUAUAUACCAAAACAAUCUGUUACACUCCUGUACUGUUUAUAAAGAUGAAAAAUGAUAAAAAGAAAGAAAAUGAGGAAUCUCAAAAAGCCAAGCUCUUUUGUAGCUAGGAAGGAGAGAGUACAAUAAAAAGUUAAUUUUGAAUCUAUUUUCUCAAUAAUUCAGAGCUUUACAGUCCAGAAAGAGGCUCAACCCACAGAGAGGAAUGGUGGAGGAAAAGGAUAGUGUCUCCUUCUAUGCAAAUUCUUCUUUCUCUCUUUUAUUCUUUGGUUCUUCUCUUUGUCAGAGUUCUUAACCAGCUCUUCCUCACCUUGACUCCUUCAAACUUGGUGCCCACGUGGCACACGUUGUUUGCUUUGUUGGACCUCUUCCAUCUGAUGACUUGGAAUAGAUGACCAAUCCGCUUUCGCCACCUCAGCGAGGCACGCGGUUUUGCAUGAUCUAUCACGGUCAUUGUAUCCUCAGUGUCUUUGGAUUGUUUAAAAUCCUUGUUUUGCUUAUUCAAAUUAUGGUUCCAGAACUUGGCGCAUUGCUCCGAAGUGCCCUUUUCCCAUGAGGCAGCUCCAUUCUCUUCAAACUUUAUUGAUAUGAAGGACUCUUCUGGACCAGUGGAGGCAUCAGAUUUACCAGAGUUAUUAUCAGAUUUCCAGUGGCGGAAUUCGAGCCGAUUGAGAAGAGAAUCCAAAGCAAAGAUCUUAGGAAGGCUGAUGGAAGGCUUCCUGGUGGGAUUAGUGAAGGAUUGAGGUCUAUGAGUUGCUCUAGAUGAUGGAAGCUGGCCCUGCUUCGCAGCCAAUACAAGGAGCCUCUCAUUUAGGCAUAGAGGACAGACCCCCACAACAAACUCUUUAGGAUGGAAAUAGCAGAAAGAAUUGUCUUCUCUAUACCCAUUCAUGGCAUAUAAUUCCAGAGAGUAUGCAAUAAACUAAAUCCUGUGGGUGGACUUCUUGUGGGAGAGAAAAACUGUUGUUAGGAUGAAGAAAUAUAUGUAUGUAUAUAUGCUGUGUGAAGGUUUAUUUGUUUGUUUAUUUAUUUAUUUUUAUUGAGAUUCAGGGAUAUAAUAUGCAUAGGUAAUUUGUUCUUGAUGUGAUUUUCAGGCCAUGUCACGGUGCUCUCUUGCAAUACCCUGCAGUACUUUCAACAGUGAUGGUUCAAUAUUUGCAUAUUCGGUAAUACAUAAUUUUCUUUCGCAGUUGCCAGUGGCAGUGACUGUGUUCCUGGAAAUACUCACCACCACAACCACACCCCACCCCCUUUCCUUCUCUUCCAUUGACUCAAAACACGCAUCCUGACAGGUGAAACCAAUGAAGUGAUAUCAACUAAAAAUGAGUGAAAGGACCUAUGCCCAUGAUAAACAACAGUUUAAAGUACCUAAAUCUAUAUAGGGGGUUGGGGAAGGUUUUUAAUUUUAUUGUAUUGAGCAGUAAGCAGUGAUGGACCUUGUUUCUUCCUACUGUGUUGUCAUGUUAAAAUGCAUGUAUAAGCGUAAUAGAAAAGUGAAAAUCUUCCAAUUGCUUGUCCUCAUUGUUGCUUUCUUUGGCUUAUCUUGAAUUAAUAAUGUAACACCCUAGGCAAAUCUCACAUCAGCAAAACACGAGAGAGAUGCUGUG